RNAcentral lists this long non-coding RNA (541 nucleotides) under Manihot esculenta (cassava). RNAcentral describes it as "long non-coding RNA (MESC_LNC007260)". The record is from RNAcentral. Lineage: Eukaryota; Viridiplantae; Streptophyta; Magnoliopsida; Malpighiales; Euphorbiaceae.
AUCAGAGCCCUAGGUUCAUAUGGUCGGACCUAGAGUGUCGGGCUCAUAGAAGUUAUAGAAGGUCAAGCACAAUAGGCAAAAAUCAUGUCCACUAGGAUAGGAUGUAGUGUCCUGUCUUGCUAUGAUUGUAUGAUAUGCUAUGUGUGUAAUGUAGCUGUGAGGUUCAUGCUUGCCGACGUGAACCAUUUAAUGCUAAUGUUAUGUGAUGUUUACUGUUCUCAGAAAACAGGAUGAGAGGAACCCGUCGAUCUGCACGAUUGACUGGAAUACCACCUCAAGACGAGGGCACUGAUGCCCGUCCUUCAACAUUGCCUAGGGUAAUGUCAAGUAGGUCCAGCAGGGACCGAGCAGUGAGAGACCCUAGAAGGUCUUUAGAUCUGGGAAGAAGCAGAUCAGUCAGAGGAACAGUGCAGGGAGGUAUGUCGGAGGAUAUGGGGGAUCAGAUGGAUGUUGAUCAAAGGAGGGAUGGCAGUUUGGGCGUCAGUAUGUCAGAAGAGGGUAUGGGAGAAUCCCAAGGAGGCACUCAGGCCUCGGGANNNNN